UGGCGGACGGGUGAGUAAUGUCUGGGAAACUGCCCGAUGGAGGGGGAUAACUACUGGAAACGGUAGCUAAUACCGCAUAACGUCGCAAGACCAAAGAGGGGGACCUUCGGGCCUCUUGCCAUCGGAUGUGCCCAGAUGGGAUUAGCUAGUAGGUGGGGUAAUGGCUCACCUAGGCGACGAUCCCUAGCUGGUCUGAGAGGAUGACCAGCCACACUGGAACUGAGACACGGUCCAG
Molecule: ribosomal RNA, 235 nt
Filed under: uncultured bacterium
Lineage: Bacteria
Description: partial 16S ribosomal RNA
Rfam family: Bacterial small subunit ribosomal RNA
Source: RNAcentral